Molecule: long non-coding RNA, 32961 nt
Filed under: Lynx pardinus (Iberian lynx)
Lineage: Eukaryota; Metazoa; Chordata; Mammalia; Carnivora; Felidae
Source: RNAcentral
GUGACCAUGAGGGGCUGGCUGGGACCCUGCUCACUCCAGAGUCUGCAGACGGGAUCUUGGGAGAACUGGCCAAAGUCCAUGAAAGGCUGGAAUUCUCGCCGCGGCCAGCUGUCUCACAUCUUCGUGUAGUGCCUGGUCUACGCCAGAGAGAAAACGGUAAGCGCUUAUCUUUGUCCCUUCUGUUCCAAAUUCAGACUAGCAGGGGGGAAACGGUUGUAGAAACUAGAUGGUUGAAUUGUGACUCUUGUGGAUUUGAUUUUGGGCAGCCAUUUGUUGACCCUUUCCCUCCAGGGACUCCCCCACACUCUUGCUGUCCUGGUCCUCCUGUGUGUCUCAUCUCUCGCCCUGAAAGCUUGGCGUGGCUUUUCACCACGGGGCGUGCAGGUUAUACACUUGUGUGUGUAGGGCUCAGUUGUCAGGCUGGGGUCCCCAGGAGCGUGGCUGGACACAACUGUGAGUUGCACCCCAUUUGUGGCUAAUCCCACCCCUCCCCCAAACUGGUGCCACCUGUCAGCCGUGUUGUCAGAGUCUCUUCUUGGCUGUUUCUGGCUCUGGAUGGUGGGAGGAUUCCUCUGCACCCUCGUUGGGAAGCUGGUUGUAUCCGUGUCUGAGCCGUAAAAGGCUCAUUGGUUUUAAGUCAUAAAAGGCUUAUUAUCAGUUUGGAAUCACUUGAAACAGGUGCAGCUUUGGUUUAAAAAAAAAAAAAAAGUCGGGGUGGGGGCAGUUCAUGACUGUCAGGGGUAUUUGUUGUCUGUCCUGUCUGAAACCUGGUAAGAUAUUUUAAAGGAGGUCUUUAAAAAAAAAUACAUGGUCAGAAGUUGCCCUCCUUGGAAGCUGAUUUUUUUUUUUUUUUUUAUUUCAGUCGGCCCUUCUCUCUGAUCCUGCUCCUCCCGUGGGAGCUUCUAACCCUUCUCCAGCUCCUGCCCACUGUGUGUCACCAGCUCCCUCUAUGUCCCUUUGUGUCGGCGCGGUUUUGCCGAGGAUAAUUUGGAAUGUCGUUGGCUUCUUUAGGACACUUAGAAUGGCAAACUGCUCCUCUGAGACAUCUGUCUGCCUGUGGCUUCUCCUCCUCUGUCUUCCUCUUGCUCCCUUGAUCCUCCAUUCAGUCCCCUGGGUCCCUCAACAGGUAACCACCCCCCCCAGCCCCUAUCUCAUCUGUCCUUCUGUCCAUGCUGCCAGACCUCUUUCCACUCCAGCUCCACAGACACUUGAACUUCAGACUUCCUAGCAUUAUCAGGCUGAGAAGAAAAAAGGCCAAUUGGAAACUGAUUUAAUAUUUUAUCUGCUCAGAUGCGCAGUGGAGACUGCACUAAAUGUCUCUUCAGUCACUUGUGUAAAAUGUAGCUUACAACCCUCAUAAGAUUACGAGUCAGGGCAAAUGAAACUCCUCUAAGCCUUCUCCAAAAAUAUUAGUCAAAGCAUUAGCCCUCAUCGUGAGGAGGUAACCCCCAAUUUACCCUCUUUGUCACAAACGCAAUUCAGAUAAAAAUAUAAAGUGGAUAAAAACCAGUGAGUUUGUUUUAUUAUGUUUUAUGGACACAUCGCUAAAAUUUUAUUUUUUUAAAUUUUGGAGAGAGAGUGUAUGUGAGCAGGGGAGAGGGGCAGAGGGAGAGAGAGAGAGAAUCUUUUUUUUUAAUUAAAAAAAUUUUUUUUUAAAUUUAUUUUUGAGACAGAGAGAGACAGAGCAUGAGCAGGGGAGGGGCAGAGAGAGAGCGAGACACAGAAUCAGAAGCAGGCUCCAGGCUCCGAGCUGUCAGCACAGAGCCCGACGCAGGGCUCAAACUCAUGAACGGUGACAUCAUGACCUGAGCUGAAGUCGGAUGUUCAACCGACUGAGCCACCCAGGCGCCCCGGGAGAGAGAGAGAAUCUUAAGCAGGCCCCAGGCUGAGCCGAUGCAGGGCUCUAUCCCAUGACCCUGGGAUCAUGACCUGAGCCGAAAUCAGGAGUCAGAUGCUUACCUGACUGAGCCACCCAGGUACCCCACCGCUAAAAUUCUAGAGUGGAAGCUGUGAAAUCUUUGUGUUUGUAUGCAUCUGUAGGUUAUGUGUAUGUGAUAUUUUUCUAUCUCGGGAAAGUAUUACCAGGUUCAUUUAUACAAUCCCUUAAAGGAGGUCUUUUCAAGUUGGCUUGGAGAUAAAUGAGCACUUACAUAAAUUCAAGUAUUGCUACAACUCUGCUACAACUCUAAGGAAUAUAGAAACUGACCCAAGCCUUUUAUUUUAAAGUUCACAUGAUUCUGGGUUAACCUCUGGUAAAUAAAGCUAGCUUUAAGAUUGUUAAUAAAAUCAAAACAGAUAAAUUUUUAAGGUUGUCAGCCUUAAAUAUAAUGCAGCCAUACAGUUUUUUCCUACCUGGGUUUACUGGUCACAUGAGCUUAUGUUAUCUCUAGUAAAUGCAUAAGGUUAUGGAAAUGUAAAUCCAACCUAAGAGCAAAAGGUACAAUCAAAAUAAAUUGAUAUAUGUCAAGGACAACAGUAAAAUAAAAAAAAAAAAAAAGAAAGAAAGAAAGAAAGACGGGAGACAUCAAGUAUUUUUCAUGCCUGCCUGAUUUGUCCACAAGAAAAAUCAUUUAAAAUGAUGGAUAGUUUUCUUUAAUAUCUCACAAAAUUUUCAUGAUUAAUUCAGGCAUACUUGUUAAGAACAAGUGAAUUAAUGUAAGAGAGGUAAAAGUUUAUGAGCUUUUUAAAAACAAUCUUGUUGUAUAAUAUGUGUACUUUAAAAAAAUUUUUUUUAAUGUUUAUUUUUGAGAGAGAGAGAGGCAGAGCACAAGUGGGGAAGGGGCAGAGAGAGAGGAAGACACAGAAUCGAAAGUAGGCUCCAGGCUCUGAGCUGUCAGCACAGAGCCCGACGUGGGGCUUGAACUCAGGAGCUGGGAGAUCAUGACCUGAGCUGAAGUCGGAUGCUUAACCGACUGAACCACCCAGGCUCCCCUGUCCACUUAAAAAGAGUUUCCAAAAAUUUUUUGAUAACUUGAAACAUUAAAGCUAUCCUAAGUUAAAUGAUGGAUAUUCACUGAAUAUCUACACCAUUUCCAUAUAAGAUAAAGCACUGGAAUACUAACUGCAGAACAUAAAUUUAUGUACGUUUUGCUUCUUAAAUUUUAUAGAGAGACAAGAGAUAUUUAUGUGCAUCUAUUUAGCAAACAUGUCCUUUGUCACAUCCAAAAGUUGUACUUAGAAGAAGCAUAUGCCUCUAGAAACUGAAGUAAUGAAUUCAUAGAUUCGCUAGUUUACUACAGGAUGUUAGCAUGUGGCAGACAGCUCAUAAUUGCCUGCUUCCUAGUUUUCACUGAAAAUUAGGGUUACUGAGGGUUAAACAUUCUUAUAGAUUGUGUAAAUGAAACUACUAGAAAUAAUAAAGGCAAAGAAGAAAAGUAUGCAAACUAUGCAAGGAAAAUGUGUUUAUGAUAAGAAAAAGUAUAUAAGGUGUAAAGGAUAUAUUUUUGUUAGGAGAGAAAGUAAUUUGUCCUAAUAUAGGAUAUGGCUGGCUGUUCUAGAAUAGAAAAAUGAAAAGAGUAGGUGGAUGAAAAAUGAAAACUAGGUAGAUACAUUUUUUAAAAGUUUGUAGAAGGGUUGAGGAAAAGGGAUUUUAUUGUGUUGUCAAGCUGCCAAGAUUGAAUAGCUUUAUUUGUAAAGUAAAAGAUGAACCUUAAUAUCAGAAGUAUACUGAUGUAAAACUAGAAUGAUGAAUUUUCUUGGCUUAUUGGUGUGCUUUCAUUAAGAAAUUGUAAAAAGAUUUUUUAAGUAAUUUUCCUGGGGAACCAAAAUUUUAUUAUCAGAAUGAUUUCCUGGGCUUCAUGUUGUGCGUAUCAGGUCUUUGGUUACUUAAGAAAACCAAAUCUUCUCAAUAUUAAAACAGCUAAGGGUUUUUUCACAACUAUGUUACCUUCUGUAUCUGCCUUUAGGAACUUUUUGUCAUUUUGGUUAAAUAGAUAAUUAAGUAUUAGAAUGAUCUAUGGUGCUAUUUGAUCAAGCAUUCAAAUCUGUUGACGGUUUUGACCAGUUUUCCAAAAUCCAAUUCUAAAUAAAGUCUUGGUGACUUAAACUGACUUGAGCUUUUAAAGAAAGUCCCUGGAAAAUCUCAAAGGAUUUGUUUCUCACUUUGUAAAAGAGAGAGAUGUUAAACUAAUUGGGCUUAUUUGGUGUAUUAAACUGUGUUGCAAGUAUUGUCAAAUCAAGUGACGAUAAGCUUUCUUUAGGUUAUAAUGUAUGGAUAUGUGCUAUUAAUAUAAAUAUAAAUAUUUCCGAAUUGUAUGAAGUUCAUGGAAAUUCAUCAGCACUUUUGAUGUUUAUGAGGUGUUCAGCAUCAGGUUAUCAGUCAUACUUCUGGUUAUUAUGUCACUGAAGUACCGUGCCUUGUCAGUUACGUCAGAGUGACCUCAUCAGACCUUUAACCAGGGCCAUUUUACGGUCUUGUGUCGUGUACGGACUGGUGGUGGUGGUGGUGGUGGUGGUGUUUAACUCCUGAUCCUUGUCUGAAAGUGUUUACAGUCAGCUACAGGCCACAGUGCCCAGUGAUGCCCUCCCAUGAAUGACUUUGAGACCAUGCCAGUGGUCUGAGUAAUUUUCCAAACUGAUGAAGUUUGCGGGUUCCUAAAACUGCUGAUCAAAGAUCAGCCAGAAAAAGAAUUAAUUACAUGAGACUGAACUGCUGAGGAGAGUUAUAAUUUUUUUGACAACUUGUUGUUUGAAACAUUGCUCAUUCUUUAAUGUUUGGUUUUUCUCUUAAACUGUCUGUUACUUACAGCAGUUUGGUAAAGUAUAGUGUUGUGAACGGAGAUGAAACAAUGACUUUUUCUCCCUCCCUGGUCCUUCCAGAACCCCGAGACUCUUACUGCCUUUUUAUUUUCAUGGCAAUAUCGUUAUUUCCAUAGGUCCUACAAGAAUCUCUUUUCCUUGUAAUAGGAUGUCAUUGAAAGCUUUGGUUAUAUUACCGAUGUUGACUCGACUGUCAUAUUUGGGAAUGAUGUAUACAAUUAGAUGUGACCAGACGGUUUCAAGGAACUAAGAUGGUCUUUAUAGAGUGGUGGUAAUGAAACUCUCUUGGGGGAAAAACUGGCCUGGUAUCUGGCUUACAGGUUUCCCAGCCUUGUAAGUGGGUAAGGAAUGUCGCUUGCUGGGAGGCCCAGGAACCUUAAAAUAUUUUGGGACCCUUAGGAAGAGAGGAAUUCAGCCAAAUCUAUAGGUGCUGAAGGCAAAAUAUAGUGGCAGUUUCCUGGCUUGGCUUCCCAGCCAUGAGAAACUUUGGAAGCUGAGAGUCCUUAAAAAUUGCAGCAAAGCAUGGGGCACCUGCGUGGCUCAGUCAGUUAAGCGUCCGACUUCGGCUCAGGUCAUGAUCUCGUGGUCCGUGAGUUCGAACCCCACGUCGGGCUCUGUGCUAACCACUCAGGUCCUGGAGCCUGUUUCAGAUUCUCUGUCUCCCUCUGUCUCUGACCCUCCCCCGUUCAUGCUCUGUCUCUGUCUCAAAAAUAAAUAAAUGUUAAAAAAAAAAAUUAAAAAAAAAAUUGCAGCAAAGCAAACUUAAAAAUUUCAGUCACUUUGGCCACAGAACACAAAUGUUGUAGCUGCACUUGUGUAAAUAAUCAGGCCACUUAUUGAGGCUAGGCUUAUUUUGCAAACAAAUACUUUCUUAUCUUUGAUAGAAAUGGGAGUGACUAAAGAGAGAAAAAUAGUAUUUCAGGAGCUAACUGUAGUCGAUUGAGUUGAAGGUUUUCAUUAGGAAAUUGUAAACUUUCUUAAAGUAUCUGUCUAUAGAGUGGGCUGGAUCGUGAGUUCUUCCGGUUUUCUCAGUACCUGGCUGUAAGACUCCAAAUUAACAUUUCUAAUUUUUUCCCUACCCUUUCGCUUUCCCUUUGGGACCAUUCAGAACUAAAACUGUCCUUUUCUUGAACCGUGCAAGCUGAGGCUAGCUGACCUGAUGUGACCCAGCAGGUCACGUGUGAGCUCCCUUCCUGCCUGUAGCUGUGUGGGCCACUCGGGAAGUUCAUGGGGUCACCCGAUGGCCUCACACAGACGUUCGAACUGCAAAGCCGGAGAAUCUGUUGCAAUGUCGCCCCUGUCCUCACUCCACCGUCUGAAAGAUGCUUUGAGCCGAGCAGGUAGAAUCUUACCUGACUGCCUUCUGGACUCAGAAACUGAGUUUAUAGUUUGUUCUAACCAUCUUUGUUUUCCUCCUGCUUCUAGGGAAACGUCCCUUCUUAAAGGCCUGAUUGUUCACACCAUACAGAGACCUAAUGGGGGGGGGGGUGCCUACUCACACCUGCACUACCACCUCCUGAAACGAGACGCUGUUCACUGGGUCACUAGGUUAGAGGACAGUCCACCAGCUCGGUGUGUGGAGCGUGAAACCUGCUGGGAAAGUUUCACACGGGAGAAUGACAGGGUUCAGGACGUGCUACCCCAGAAUAUGGCCCUUUGGCACGUUGAAUUUUAUAAACGGAAGGAAUUCGAGAAAUGGCACGUGCAGGGAGGACUGUUUGACCUUCCCUGAAGUGGGUCUAGACCCUCAAAUGGGAGGUGCCCUCCCUGUGCCGGAGGAAAGGAGUACCCUUGUCUCCAAAGAGGAGGGACACCGAGAAGACUGUUUCCCCACUUACCCCUCUCAGCUCACAUUCCUUUUUGUCCUAUUGCAUUUUUUUUCAUUUUCUCUUUACUUUUGAUCAAACCUAGUAUAAGAAUUUAGUAUAACUAUUUCUUUGGUCUUCAUUUCCUUAUGAAGCUUCCUGUAUCACGUAAAGUUUGUAUGAAGUAAAUUUGUAUGCUUUCUUUCGUGAAUUUGUCUUUUCUUAUAGAGACCCGUGUGAGAACUUAGAAAGGUAGAAGGGAAAUGGAUUUUCUCCCCUAUAAGAACCACCAGAUGACUUCCAAAAAAACUUUUGAAUACUCCCCUUUCUGGAGGCUUUUUUUUUUUUUUUAAUUUUUUUAAAUGUUUUAUUUACUCUUUUUUUUUUUUUUUUCAACGUUUAUUUAUUUUUUUUUUGGGACAGAGAGAGACAGAGCAUGGACGGGGGAGGGGCAGAGAGAGAGGGAGACACAGAAUCGGAAACAGGCUCCAGGCUCCGAGCCAUCAGCCCAGAGCCUGACGCGGGGCUUGAACUCACGGACCGCGAGAUCGUGACCUGGCUGAAGUCGGACGCUUAACCGACUGCGCCACCCAGGCNNNNNNNNNNNNNNNNNNNNNNNNNNNNNNNNNNNNNNNNNNNNNNNNNNNNNNNNNNNNNNNNNNNNNNNNNNNNNNNNNNNNNNNNNNNNNNNNNNNNNNNNNNNNNNNNNNNNNNNNNNNNNNNNNNNNNNNNNNNNNNNNNNNNNNNNNNNNNNNNNNNNNNNNNNNNNNNNNNNNNNNNNNNNNNNNNNNNNNNNNNNNNNNNNNNNNNNNNNNNNNNNNNNNNNNNNNNNNNNNNNNNNNNNNNNNNNNNNNNNNNNNNNNNNNNNNNNNNNNNNNNNNNNNNNNNNNNNNNNNNNNNNNNNNNNNNNNNNNNNNNNNNNNNNNNNNNNNNNNNNNNNNNNNNNNNNNNNNNNNNNNNNNNNNNNNNNNNNNCCCCCCCCCCCCGCCCUUUUUUAAUUUAUUUAUUGUUUAUUUUACAUCCAAGUUAGUUAGCAUAUGGUGCAACAAUGAUUUCAGGAGUCGAUUCCUUAGUGCCCCUUACCCAUUUAGCCCAUCCCCCCCCACAACCCCUCCAGCAACCCUCAGUUUGUUCUCCAUAUUUAUGAGCCUCUUCUGUUUUGUCCCCCUCCCUGUUUUUAUAUUAUUUUUGUUUCCCUUCCCUUAUGUUCACCUGUUUUGUCUCUUAAAGUCCUCAUGUGAGUGAAGUCAUAUUAUUUUUGUCUUUCUCUGACUAAUUUCACUUAGCAUAAUACCCUCCAGUUCCAUCCACGUAGUUGCAAAUGGCAAGAUUUCAUUCUUUUUGACUGCCGAGUAAUACUCCAUUUGUAUAUAUGUACCACAUUGUCUUUAUCCAUUCAUCUGUUGAUGGACAUUUGGGCUCUUUCCAUACUUUGGCUGUUGUUGAUAGUGCUGCUAUAAACAUUGGGGUGCAUGUGUCCCUCUAUCCCUUGGAUAAAUACCUAGUAGUGCAGUUGCUGGGUCAUAGGGUAGUUCUAUUUUUAAUUUUUUGUGGAACCUCCGUACUGUUUUCCAGAGUGGCUACCCCAGUUUGCAUUCUGUCUGGAGGCUCACUUUGACUAUACUUUUGAGGAAGAAAGAAAAGUCUGAAAACAGAUUUCUUUUUAACAUUUAUUUAUUUUGAAGGGAAGAGGGGCAGAGAGAGAGAGAGAGGAGAGAGAGGGAAACCUAAGCAGGCCCCACACUGUCAGCGUGGAGCCCGACACGGGGCUCAAUCCCAUGAAAUCAUGAGAUCAUGAGCUGAGCUGAAACCAAGAAUCGUAUGUUGAACUGAGUGAGCCACCCAGGCGACCCCAAAAGGAUGAACAUUAAGUAAGUCCUUCUGGACUGUCUACCUUUUUGUUGAGGGACAUUUCACGGACUCUGGUCCUGGGUUAACAGUAUUGAAUAGUGGGGUGUCCCCCCCCCCCACUAGGUUGUAGGACCAUUUUUCUACAUUUGCAAACUGUGAGCGGGGCCCGGGGGGAGGGGGAGGAUUGGCCCGAGGAGGGGUUGGAGGACGGGCUCAGGCUGGGGCCUUGCUGGGCCUUGUUCUGGAGAGCUGACGCCCCUUUCGCUGCCCCCUGCUUUCCUCGGGCGGACACGGCUCUGCCACGACCCACACUACGGUACGAAGCAUGGAGUUCACUUCACGUGCCCCAGGUGGGCUCUGAAUCCACCUGCCGGCAUCCAGGUUCGUGUUUCCUCCGCGACCGUGGGUGCGGUGGAAGUGGAGCCGGACGACGUGGGCCUGACUCUUGGCCUGUCCUCUGAUUUGUGGCCCUCUGAGCGAGUAGUUCUCAGUCUUCCUCAAUCUUAGUGAAGAAAUAGUUCUCAGUCUUAGUGAAGGGAUUCCUCCUGCCGGUGGCUGUCGCAGCGAGGCCUGAAGGCGAGGCCGAGGGAGCCACAGAGCUGUGCGUGGCCGGCGCGAGGCUCGGAGGUGGGCGGUGUGCCGCGGUGCCCUUAACGCCGGUCCUGAGCGGGACCUCUUGUCACACGCGCUUAUCUCCUUUUGUUCGUUUCGGAGUUUAAGAACUUUUAAUCAUUUUCUUGCUGUUCAACCCUUGUCCUCGGAAGUUGGGGUAUUUCUUCUCCAUCUGAGAAAAGACUGUGAACAAAGCAUGGCACCCUACCCUGUAGCGGGAUGGAUAGGCUCACUCUCGGGGGCUCAUCGCUGCAGGAAGAGGCCGGAGGCUCGCUCUGGGCUCUCUGAGUUCUCUAUCUGCCUCCAAUGAAAAGGAAUGAGGUAAUAGAUGGGAAUCUGGAGGACGCAGAUGCGGAAACGAGGGAUGUGGGGGUAGCAGUUGGGCAAACAGGAAUGCAGACUUGGCGGUUGAAUGGCGAAUUCAGAAAAGGAGUUUGGUCUGGGUCCGAGGAAAGAUAACGUAGACGUGAUGGGGUGCGUGGGCCUCUCCGUUGAGACGUCUUAUCAGAGCCAGGUAGCGUACCCCUAACGUGUCCUGCAGGCCGCCUGCUUUCCAGAUGCUACGCUGUUUGUGUCGCGUACGUAAGUCCACAUUCAUAUACGCAGAGAUGGUAGUUAGGACUUUAUGGUUGAAGAUGAUGCCCAUAUCCUUCUCUUUAAUAAGCAAAAUAUAUCCUUCAGUUCAUUUUUCUGAAAGUAUUUGACUCUUCUGUAAUCAUAAUCUUUAAUUACAUAUUACAUAUUACAUAUUAUAAUCUUCUGUAAUUACAUAAUCUUUAUGUAAUCUUUGGUAAGAUUACAUAAGAGUUACUGAUACUGGGCAAGUUACUCAAUUCCCCCCCCCCCCUUUUUUUUAAGUUUAUUUAUUUUGGGAGAGAGAGCAUAAGCAGGGGAGGGACAGGAAGAGGGAGAGAGAGAAUCCCAAGCAGGCUCUGUGCUGUCAACGCAAAGCGUGAUGCAGGGGCUCGAACUCAUAAACUGUGAGCUCAUGACCCAAGCUGAAAUCAAGAGUCAGACGCUCCCUGACUGAGCCACCCAGGUGCCCCCGAGUUACUCAACUUCUGGUGAAUGUUCACUGUUUUUUUAUCAGCGGCAAAAAUAAAAUGUUGCGGGGUUGUUGAGAUGAAAAAUCAUGUUAAAAGUACUGGGUACUGGGGCGCCUGGGUGGCUCAGUCGGUUGAGCGUCCGACAUCAGCUCAGGUUAUGAUCUCAUCGUCCAUGGGUUUGAGCCCCGCGUCGAGCUCUGUGCUGACAGCUCGGAGGCUGCUUCCCUGUCUCUGUCUCUCUCUCUGUCUCUCUCUCUCUCUCUCUGCCUCUCUCUCUCUCUCUCUCUCUCUUCCCCUCCUCCACUCAUGCUCUGUCUCUCUCUGUCUCUCAAAAAUUAAUAAACAUUAAAAAAAAUUAAAAAAAGUGCUGGGUACAGUGGCAGCAUUAACAGGAACCAGUUAAUGGUGGUUAAUUUUUAUCUAGGUUAAUUUUAUCUAAUUAAUUUUUAUCUAGGUAAAAGUGUUCAUGUGUAACUAUUUGUGUGUCAUUGAGAAUAAGUUCCUUUGGUGUGAGCAUUCCACAUUCCCAUCUUGUGGGUUUCAGUGUUUGCUUUUAGGCUGAAUAUCUGUUAUGCUCUUUCACAGAUAGAUUUCUGAGAGUGCAGACACUGCAUUCUGCUGGGUUGUACACCCGUUGUCAGAACCAGCUUCACUGAACAAAAGGUGAUUUCAGAUUUUGAAAGGGUCACUUAUUCUUUAAUUUUACUUGGGUUAUAUUUGGAUCCUUGACCAAGGUAAUGAAUAAUCUUCUCAAACCAAGUUGGAGUCAUCAGGACCAUGAGAUACACCGGUCGUGAUGUCUUCUCUCUGUACCAGAGUCGUCGUCUCCUCCCUCCACCAUUGGUAAUACAACUGAAGUGAGCUUUCCAGCUCUGAUCACCACUACUGCGCUCUAUGAAAUGGACGGUGGGAAUAAGUUGUUGCCUUGCAAACAUUUAAAAACUUGUUCUGUACUUCAAAAAUCUGUUUCAUUUUCAGUAAAUGUACUGAAGUGGUAAUGUCUGAGCAGACUUUCAGAUCCACUUGGGACCAGAACUUUGUUCUCAUGUGGAGGGAAAAAUUUCUUAAACCAUUUAACACAUGGGAAUGACUAAUUACAAGACAAAGCUUGCCUUCCCUGGAAGAUGGAACAGCAUAGUGGAAAGAGCCCAGGAUGGAAACCAGUGUACGACCUCUACUUGCCCUUGUUUUCACUAACUGGCUGGAGGACCUUAAAAGCAACACUUUUGAUUUCUGAGUUUUUGUUAUUAUUAGUGUAAAAUGAGGGAUUUGGAAUUAAAUACUGAGAGCGCCUUCCAUACCUAGAUAGAUGUGGAUAGAUGUUUAUUACAGGGAUUGGCUCACGCGGUUAUACAGGUUGAGAAGUCCCACAAGCUGCCGUCUGUAAACCGUAACCAGGGCCGUUGAUAGUGUCCUCAAGUCUAGGUCUGAAGGCCUGGGGAUCAGGGAGGAUGUUGAUGGUUAAGUCCUCAUAGGAGUCCAGAGGCCUGGGGACCGGGAGCGCCAGCGUCUGAAGGCAGGCAGAUGGAUGACCUAGAUCAAACACAGGGUGAAUUCACCCUUCCUCUGCCUUUCUGUUCUGUUCAGCCUCUCAAAGGAUUGGAUAAUGCCCACCCACAUUGGCAAAAAGAAAACAGAAAAGACCACAGUCUUGUUUUACUCAGUUCACCAAUUCAAAUGCUCUUCCAGAAAUGCCGUCACUGACAUGCCCAGAAAUAAGGUUUUACCAGCUGUCUGGACAUCUCUUAGUCCCCUGAACCUGACACAUAAAAUUAGCCAUCACAAGUCCACCCCUUGUCAACUUGGCACUUGUACACAUCUCCUCAGAGAUAUUUGGUGUUGCUGUGUUUGUGCGUAUUAAUACAUGUGAGCAAAGAAUUUCGCUUCAUAUGGACAUUUGCUUAAUGUAUGUAUGUAGACAUGUAAACACAAUUAUAACAAGAUCAGGAAAUACUCAUGACCAUUGCAGACUUAUUUCUGUACUUGGUCACGUGGCUGAUAUUUAUACCCUUCUUCUCUUGCCCGUUCUGUGUACCCUUCAGCAAGUGCCUCAGCUCGUUGUGGUUCUUUACCUAAUGGAGUGGCCCAAACCUUCAUUCCUGAAGGAUCUGGAGUGUUAGUAGUGCCACCUGGAUUGCAUUGUAGUUUUCCAUUGAUCUUAAUUACGGCACUAGGGAUAGCCUAGGGGAUGUCCUGUAUGCCAGACGUGCUUUUACCUCCAUUGUGGGUAGUAGUCCCUUUUCUCCUAGAGAGUGUGGAUCAGUCACCCCAGCCAACACCACAGCUCCCUUCCUUGCCCAAGGAAAGGGACCCAGAGUGGCCAAGUGGCAGUCUUAAUUCCCAGUUCAACAGAACCGUGUCUACGGGUGCAUGGUAUUUCUCCCUUUAGAACUAGGUCCUCUACGUCAGCAGAGCAUAAAGUCAUGAGAACAGGAAACAAAAUGUAUGCUAGUAAGUCAGUAGGGGUAAUAGUGGUAUUGUGUCCAUUUCUACCUGUGGAUUCCUGGACCCCCGCACCCAUGAAUCCUGGUAUCAGGGAAGGGAUCCCGUUUAUUCGAUGCUGAUUCAGAAUGUGGACAGUCUUCUGGUGACCCUUGUCAGCACCCUGCACGGUGUUGCCAGUACCUAGCUGGCCCUGUAACCAAGUCUUCAAAACGCCAUUCCACUGUUGUAGCGGAAAGCUAGCGCCUUCAGGGUGGUGUGGAACUUGCGAAGACCUGUGAAUUCCAAGAACGUGGGCCCAUCGGUGGCAUUUCUUUUGCCAUGACGUGAGUUCCCUGAUCAAAAGCAAUGCUGUGUGGAAUACCAUGACAAUGGAUAAGGUAUUUUAUAAGUCCACAGAUGGUAGUUUUGGCAGAAGCGUUGUGUUUAAGGAGGGCAAGUCAGUAUCCAGGGUGUUUAUCCCAGGAGGGCGUGGAUUUGUAAACUGGCGUCAGUCCGGGAAUCGACUGGGGGACCGUGGCUCUGUUUGUUAGUUUUUCAAAGAUAACCACUGUUUAUAUAGAGGAAAAAAGAAUUGUGUGUAUGGGUACACAGAGACAUGUAAAAUUGAUUCUGCUUUAUUUCCUGCUUUUCUUAUUUAAUAUGUUGUAAAAAUUUUUUCUGUGCUGAGUCAGAGGGUGCUAUUUAUUCUCCAACAUCCACUUUCCAUUCUCCCUUUACUAAUAGAAACCUCCUUUUUUUUUUUAAAAAUGAUUGUCAGCAAAUUUUAUUUUUUAUUUUUAUUUUUGGUGAAAAAACUCCUCUACUUUACUGUUUUUUUUUUUUUUUUUAAUUUAAAUCCAAGUUAGUUAACAUAUGGUGUAAUGAUGGUUUCAGGAAUAGAAUUUAGUGAUUCAUCACUUACAUACAACACCCAGUGCUCAUCCCAAGUGUCCUCCUUAAUGCCCAUCCCCCAUUUAGCCCUUCCCACCCCACCAGCAACCCUCAGUUUGUUCUCUGUGUUUAAGAGUCUCUUACAGUUUGUCCCCCUCCCUGUUUUUAUCUUAUUUUUGCUUCCCUUCCUCUAUGUUCAUCUGUCUUGUGUCUUAAAUUCCACAUGUGAGUGAAGUCCUAGGAUAUUUGUCUUUCUGACUGACUUCACUUAGCACAACAUACUCUAGUUCCAUCCACGUUGCUGAAAAUAGCAAGAUUUCAUUCUGUUUGAUCGACCGUGGCUCUGUUUUCGUGUUUUGACUUAGACUUUUGUUCACUCGACCUAGAUCUUUUUGGCUUAAACAGAUCAGGUAGAAUUUGUAUGUAUUUCACUUGUAGCACCCCAUACUUAAGUGGCCGGUGCCCUGGGUCUGUGUGGAUCUUGCCGUUCUGUUGGCCGUUUGGCUGCUGUCCCUUGUGGUACCUACACCGGCCACACCCCCUUGCCUUUGGCUGCUGAGUGAGAGCUACCACGGCAGCUGCCUCUCCGGGAUCCAAUUACUUCCAUUGCGUUUAGGUUUUCCAGUUGAGGUGGUUGUGGUUCCCGGUGCAAGGAAGGACUGGCCAGACGAGGAGAGCAAUUAAUGGAGCUCUUCAAGGAUGCUGGGGCCCUCCCUCACGAACUUAUUUCUCCAAGUAUUGGUGAAAAUUAUGCCUUCUGGAUCCACCCACGCUGAGUGAGCUAUCUUAAAUGACAUUCCCACUCUAACAUUCCAGUCUCCUUAAGCCUUUGAAUCCCUUCCUUGGCAUUAAACCAAGGGAGGUUGGGCAUUUCCAGUCUGCUCACAGCAGGUUAUCUUUUGAUCCACCUUUCAGGUCAGCCGGCCCUUGGAGCCUUCCUGACUCCCUGAGCUGCAACAUUAAAAGCAGAAUUUCUUUGUGAGCCCGUAUCAAUAAAUUCAGCCUGAUCCAACCCUCUGUUUCUUAAAUUUCCAUUUUCACACAUGUUCCCUGGAUUUCUGUUUGUAUAAAUGAGAAAACCCAAGUAGUUGUUUUAAAAUGUGGCACACUUCCUCUUGAGUCAUACUUUGUACCUCACCUUUAGGGAUCUGUUGGGACUGGAGUCUAGUUGUAGGUCUAGAAACAAAGAGGUGGUGAUGGUGAAUCCCGAGGAGAAUCAGCAUUGUCUUGCAUGACAGCUGCCUCUGGGGAUUAGGCGAUGAGUUAAUCUCGUCACACGGAGGUGGGAAGGUCCACACUGCUGUGGGUGGGGAAGCCACUACUUCGGACACCCAAGACUGGUUAGAUCCGAUCCAGUUGUGCUGUAUUUUGCAAGAAAUGUUAAAGUAUGUAUGUAUUCCUCUUGUCACUUAGCAUGAUAUAGUAGAAUUAGGAACUAGAGACAGAAUAUACAGUUGAGCCCGAGCUGCAUACUUAUUAGCCGUGGGGCCUUUGGCAGAUAGCUCUCUCAAUUCCCUCGUUUAAAGCGUAGCUAUGAUAACCCCUACCUGUGACCAUGAUUGCUAAGUGAACCUCAGUAGCCGUUGUUCUCCCCUUUGAGAAUAGACUUCUCAGUCCGGUGUUAGCUAGCCCACGGGCACCCAGCUCUAGCUGCCUUCCCCUGCGAGUCGCACCUGGAUAGGGCCCUGUGACUAGGUUUGGGGCAUUGGGAUUUGGAAGGCAGAAUUGUGGGCAACUUUUGGGUUCUCUUAAGGACUUAUUUGCCCUGGAUGCCCUCAUUUCCUGUUUCUCUUUGGCUGGGAAAUGGCAAGAAUUGAAGCAGCAGUCUUGGAUCCAGCGACAGGUACGACGGAGGAAGACAACGGAACCGGCUGUCUGCCCCAGGCUCCUUGGAGCAGAGCUGCUCACUCCUUCGCUUUUGAACCGUUACGUGAGAGAGAAAGAAACCUGUCUUAUUUCAGCCCCUGCAUUUCUACAUGUCUUUGUUACAGGUCCUUGCAUUCCGCCUGGUGGCCCUAACAAAACACCACCUUAAAGAGUCGUAGGGUACCUACUGAAUGUCAGAAAAUAUUUGCAAAUCAUAUGCGUGAUAAGGGACUAAUAUCCAAAUAUAUAAAGAACUUCUGCAACCCAAUGGCAAAAAGCAGUGUGAUUGAAAAAUGGGCAGAGGGGCUGAAAAGACAUUUUUCCAAAGAAGACAUCAUCCAGAUGGCCCACAGGUGCUUGAAAAGAUGCUCAACGUCACUCAUCAUCAGGGAUGCAAAUCAAAACCACAGUGAGGUACCACCUCACACCUGUUAGCAUGGCCGUCCUCCAGGAGACAAGCGGUAAGUUGGUGAGGAUGUGGAGAAAAGGGAACCCUCAUGCGCUGUUGGUGGGACUGUAGGUUUUUUCAUGUUUCUACACAUAAGUGUUACUUUUUUUUUUAAUGUAUUAUUGGGGGGAGGCUGUAAAUUUGUGCUGCCGCUGUGGAAAAGUGUGAAAAAGUAAGGAAGUUCCUCAAAAGAUUGAAAAUAGAGCUGCUGUACAAUCCAGCAAUUCCACUUCUGGGUAUUUAUCUGAAGAAAAUGAAAGCACUAAUUCAAAAGGUAUCUGUACCCCCAUGUUCGUCGCAGCGUUAUUUAUAGUGGCCAAGAUGUAGAAGCAACCUAAGUGUCCAUCGAUGCAUAAGUAAAGAAAAUACGAUUCUGUGUGUGUGUGCGUAUAAAAACUGCUCAGCCAUAGAAAUGAAAUCUUGCCAUUUGCAACAACACUAAUAGAUGCUGAGAGCAUCGUGCUAAGUGGAAUAAGUCUGACAGAAAAAGACAAAUACCAUAUGAUCUCACAUGUGGAAUCUAAAAAUGAAAACCUGAGCUCAUGGAUAUAGGGACCACAUCGGUGGUUGUCUGAGGCCGGGGGUGAGGGUGGGCAAAAUGGGUGAAGGGGGUCAAAAGAUAUAAAUUUCCAGAUAUUAGUAAGUCAUGGGAUGUAAUGUGGGGCAUGGUGAUGAUAGCUAAUGAUCCCUGCGUUGUGUAUUGGAAAGUACUUAGGAGAGUGGGUUGGUCCUCUUAAAAAAAGAAUUUUGUCACUCUGGGGUAUUGGAAGUUGACUGGACUUAAUUGCCGUGGUGAUCAUUUUGCGGUAUAUACAAGUAUCACAUCAUUGUGUCGUUCACCUGAAACUAAUACCAGGUAUACUUCAGUAGAAGAAACACUUGUGAAAACUAGAGAUGAGAAAUGUCCUGGUUUAGUAUAUAACACAUAGCAAGUGCUCUGUUAGUGUUUCCUACUGUUAAAUAGUUACUUUCUACCUGUUGUGGGUGGGGUGCAGUGCUAAAUCAAAGGUCAUAAAAAUGGUUUCUGUUGUUAGUGGAUUUAAGAAUAUUAAGAGCAAGGAUUAUUUCAAUUAAAAAUGUAUGUAAAAUAGCUAAUAGCAACUAGUGAGAGAACAAAACUUAUAACGUUCAUAAUCGUAACAGAAAUAUACUUUAUCUGGAAUGAAACAAUAAGACAUGGGCAAGAGGACCCAUAUGAGAAAAACUUACAGUUUAAGACAUAAAAGACUGUAGAAAUGUGUGGAGAGAUAUUUUGUGUUACUUAAUGUUAUAAAAGGUUUCUCACAAAGGUUUAGAGGUUUAAUGUUAAAAGGUCAAACAAUGAAGUCAAGCCUGUAAAAUAGAUGUGGGUCUUCGCCUACCCUUUCUCGCCACUAGGUUGGCAUCUGCAGAGGUGGCUGGUUUGAAUUCUUUCAUCGGUUUCUUCUGAUACUUACCUCUGUAUUUUUUAUCUCUUCUCUUUCUUGUCUGUCUAGAGAGUGUUCACAGGCGUGUGUGUAUGCGCACAAGUAGGGGAGGGGCAGAGAAAGAGGAAGAGAGAAUCCCAAGCAGGCUCUGGGCUCAAACCCACAAACCGAGAGAUCAUGACCUGAGCUGAAAUCAAGAGUGGGAUGCUUAACCCCCUGAGCCCCCCAGGCGCCCCUCAAUAUUAUUUAUGAUGCCAUUUCUUAUUUUUUUUACUUGUCUCUUCACUUUUUAAUGAGGUGAAUGAAGAUUUGCUCUUUUAUACCUCGCUUCUCAAUUAUUUCCCUCUUCCCCUCAACAUUGCUCCCCUGUAACAGGUACAUGAUUUUUCGUUGGUCAGUGACUUCAUUAUUAUAAUUGCGUAUUAUCUGUAGCUGAGACACAAAGUGAUUGUGAUUAUAUUCACUUUUCCCCAUAACUUGUUUUUCUUGGCGUUUAAUUUUCCUGUGCUGUCUUUUUAAUGAUUUAUUCUCCCCUUUCUCUUUUCUAGAAUUUCUGUAGUCUGAUAUUGGAUCUCCUGGAUUUUGAUCUUCUAAUUUUCUUUUUUCCGUCUUUCUCUCUUUCUGGUGUCUGGGAGAUUCCCUCUGCUUUAUCUUCCAGUCUUACUAUUGUAUAUAUAUUUAAUUUCCUGCUCCCAUUUUAAAAUUCUAAAAGCUUUUUCUUAUUGAGUAAACAUCCCUUUCAAUAGGCCCCAUUACUGUUUUAUGGAUACACUUUCAACUCUCUGAAGAUGCAGAUUUCAGUUAAAAAUAACAACCCAACAAUUUCUUUGGGUAGUGAUUACUUCUUUUUCAUUUGUUUUUCCAUUUCAUUUGGUUUCUUUAUUUCAUGUGGAAGAAUUCUUCACUGGUUCCUCAAAUGCUUAGCUAAUAUUAACAGUCUUAGCAGAAGCUCUGUGCACGGGUUUCACUCUAGGGCUGUUUAGUUGAAGACCAGAUUUAUUUUAUUGACACAUCUCUGACUUUUUUUCCUUCAAGUUUUUACUGAAAUUCUAGUUAGCUAAAAUAUAGUGUAAUACUGUUUUCAGGAGUCGAAUUCAGUGACUCAUCACUUACACAUAACACCGAGUGUUCAUCCCGACAAGUGCCCUCCUUAAUGCCCAUCCCCCACCCACCUCCCUCCAUCAGCCCUCAGUUUGUUCUCUAUUUGUAAAGAGUCUCUUAUGGUUUCUUUCCCCCCUCUCUCUUUUUCCUCCUUUUACAUACGUUCAUCUGUUCUAUUUCUUAAAUUCCACAUAUGAAUGAAGUCAUACGGCACUUCUCUUUCUCUGACUGACAGAUUUCGCUUAGCAGAAUACACUCUAGUUCUGUCCACAUAGUUGCAAAUGGCAAGGUUUCAUUCUUUUUCGUCACCAAGUAGCAUUCCAUUGUAUGUAUAUACCGCAUCUUCCUUAUCCAUCAUCCGUUGAUGAACGUUUGGGUUCUUUCCAUAGUUUGGCUGUCGUUGAUAACACCACUAUAAACGUCGGGGUGCACGUGCCCCUUUGAAUCUGUAUUUUUGUGUUAUUUGUGUGAAUAUCUAGUAGUGCAAUUGCUGGGUCGUAGGGUAGUUCUCUUUUUAGUUUUUUGAGGAACCUCCACACUGUUUUCCAGAGUGGCUGCACCAGUUUGCAUUCCCACCAGCAGCGCAAAAGAGAUCCUCUCUCUCCGCAUCCUCGCCAACAUCUGUUGUUGCCCGAGUUGCUGAUUUUAGCCAUUCUGACCGGUGUGAGGUGCUAUCUCAUGGUGGUUUUGAUUUGCAUUUCCCUGAUGAUGACACAGCUCUGACUCUUAACGUCUGUAGUCUUUUCUGAUUUUUCUUCGCAAAGAGGAACCCCUCUGCCUCCUGCUGAGGGAGUGCACCUGUUUCUGGCAGUUGAGUAGGGGAGAGAGCUGGGGGGAGGGAGACUCACGUCUGAGUAUAUCACUUGCAUUCGCUCUCCCUGCGAUCUUACCCUCACGCCCUGUGCCCGCAGUGCCUCAGUGCAGAGUCUGGCACGCUCCGUCUUUUUCCCCAGAGAGUAGACUGCUCUUUCUCCUGCCUGAGCAAGAGUCAGUUGGAGAGUUGGAGGCCGCAUGGAGCGCCUGUCUCAUGCAGACUUCGCGUUCCUCCUCCUUUAGCCCCACCCGCAGCUGCCCAUGUUCCUGAGCCUUUCUGAGUGCCGCCUUCGUGCUGCCUCCCCUUAACUACACAGUUAGGGUUCAGCUGUCGCUGUUCUGCUACGGCAGAAACUACUCACUCACCUCUCUUUCCAUCUUCCAAAAUUUUCUUAAUGUCUUUGGUCUAUAACCACUUCUAGUCUUUAUCCUUAGUGUUUCAUACUUAAAAAAAAAAAUGUCUUUAUUGUCAUUUGAGUGGAGUUUGGGGAGUAAGUGGAAAUAAAUGCAUGUAUUCAAGUCACUAUUUUAACCAGAAAUCUUUGAGUUUUCACAAGAGUAAACUUUAGACUUGCAUGAAAACAGGACCGUUAAGAUGAGGUGGUUUGAUGCUCAGUGGACCAUCUGCGGAGGCAGACCUCAUUUACAAGUGUCCCGUUCUCCCUGUGGCUCCAGGGUCUUCUCUCUUUUCCGCCGUUUGUGGCAGAUACAGGGCCUCCGAUGGUGGGAACACUCACUUUUCCUGCUCCCGGAGAUGACAGUCCUACGACCCCUGAAAAUCUCCCAUGUCAGCCAUACCCUUGUUUUGCUUCCUACACCAUUUCUGAAAGAUACCCUAAUAAUUUCUAGUUCAAAACUUGUAUUCAGUCUAAAUCAGUGGAAUUUUAGUAAUGAAUCACCUAGAACGUUGGCUUUCACCAUGUCUAUCAGAAUGCUUCUAGCUGCAAAUAACAGAAAGCCCAGCUAGCUGAAAGGGUUGGAGAGUUUGGGGCUCCUGGGUGGCUCAUUCGGGUUAAGCGUCCAACUCUUGGUUUCGGCUCGGGUCGUGAAUCACAGUUCAUGAGUUUGAACCCCACGUCGGGUUCUGUGGUGACGGUACAGAGCCUGCUUGGAUUCUCUCUCUCUUUCUCUCUCUGCCCCUCCUCCACUUACACACGCACACACACUCUCUCUCAAAAUACAUAAGUAAACUUAAAAAAAAAAACAAACAAAAAACCAAAGGGGGUUUAUUCUGUUUACUUAACUGGAAAGUUUAGAGAUAGGUCAGUCUUCAUUGCUAUUUGGUCAAGACUCUUACUCUCUUUCUCUGCAUUUCUCUCAGCUCUGCUCUGAUCUGCAUGUUGACUUUUAGGCUGGCUCCCCUCAUGGUUACAGAAUGGCUGCGACAGCUCCAGGUGUCAUGUUUCAUACACACCAUGCAGAGGAAGAGAAAGGUUCUUUCCCAGAAGUUACCAGAAGACAUCUCCACACCUCGGGGUGGGGACAGGGGGCAGGAAUUAUACCAAUUUAUCUCGCAUCACACCCCAUUUCUAGAAUGAGGGUGGUUAUACUCCCCCAAAACAUACAGGUUAUGUGAGGCAGGAGUAAUACUCAUAAUAUCAGAAUAGGGGGCGUGGAUGUUGGGAAGGCUAUCACGGUAUCCAUUACUGUGCUUGUUUUUAAUAUCUCUGCUUUGAUCACCGAGGACAUAACUGUCUUUAUAUUUACAUCCUUACACUUUUUAUAAGUUGUUCUCCCCUCAUUCAGGUUCCAUUGAUCUUAUGUGUUAACAAACCAUCAUUGUCUUUAUCCUUCAGGCUUUUCCUUACAAUUUUUUUUUUUUUUCUAAUCUGCAGUUUAACCCACUGUGUGCAUUUAAAAAAUAUUUCAGUGCUUAUGAAAUUCUUCUUCUCCAUGCCCUAAUGUUCACCUGGCCUUUUUGGUAUUGUCUUUUUGUUGGCCCUCAAAGUUUUAUAAUGACUUUUGUUCUUAAUAAAUUUAAGCAUGCUUUAUAAUUUCUAUCUCUACUAUUAUCUGAAAUGUUUUGUUGUCUAAUUGUUAUUUUUUACUUCUGCUCUUUCCCUCAUGAUGGAUUAUUUCUUCAUGUGCUUUGCAACUUUGGGUUGUGAGCUCAUCUUCAGUAAGUCUUUAAUUGUUGGAAUUCUGCAGGUCCUGAGUAGUUAUACAUUUGUCUCUGCCAGGUCAGUCAGAGAUCACUCUUGAGAAGUUUCUGAGCCUUGGAUUUCUUGGGUCAUGCAGGUAGUGUAAAUUUGAACUUCAAGUCUUUGUGAAGGCUGUCUCAGUGUAGAUUUUGGGUUUUGUUUUGUUUUUUGUUCACCUAGAACCCGGGCCAAGGUAGCUAAGUUUCCUUGAUGGGGAAAUUGGUUUUAUGACGGCAUUUUAUUCUGAUUCCCUGCCUCCCAGGGUUAAGUGCUCCUUUCCAGCUACUUGAUAGGUGUUAAAAUUCAAGCCUCUUGGUUAUUGAAACUGGUGAACCCCUGCCCCAACCACGAGCUCAUGCUUGCUGCUGUGGUUUCCCGUUCCUGCCUGGUUUGGGCCUCUCGGUUUUAAUUUCUUACUGUGCAUUUGAGGAAUGUUGACUUUAUUUCAUCCAGCACUUUUGAAUGUUUAAGUUCGUCUUAGGUCUGAUUCUCCAGGGAAUAGAGAUUUGAGGCAGAGAUUUGCACGCAGGGGGUGUUUUGGACAUUUCUGUUGGCAACAUGCUUGUAGGGAGGUGAGGGCUUGUGAGGCGAGAUGGGAUGGAUGGAAGAGCUAAUGGGGGAAGAGCUCAUAGGGAGAGGGAGGAGCUAAUGGGGAGUGGGUGGAGCUAAUGGGGGGAGGAGCUAGUGGGGAGAGGGAGGAGCUAAUGGGGAGAGGGAGGAGCUAGUGGGGGAGGGAGGAGCUAAUGGGGAGAGGGAGGAGUUAACCGUAGUGCAGCUGCAGCCCUUACUUGAGCCGGUCCCUUGGGCAGCUUCUAGACCUAGGGAUUAUGUGCACGCUGGUUCGGGCCAGGUCUUCGAAGCUCUGGGAGCCCAGCUCCCUAACGGUGUUCCCGACGGUCAGCCCCCACUGAGCUGCUCGCCUGUACCGAUCCCCUUCUUGUGUGUACCUUCCCCGCAGCUCCGGGAAGUGCGGCGCCCUCUGGGCCCUGCGGUGGCCAGCAGCUUGUGCAGCGUCCCCUGGUACCUGCUCCCUGGCCCUGCCCUUCCCUCAUUCACUGUCUGCCACAGCAGCUCUGGCAUUUCUCCUUCACGUGUUGAGGGUCUCCACUUCCCCACCUUUCGAGACUGUGUCGGUAGUGUCCUAAUGUUUCCAGGGUCCUCCUCGGGGUUACCUCCUGUGUCGGGGGCAGUGCCCCCGGCUAGAUGAGCUCAGCCCGACGGCUGAGUCCGUCCCCGUGCUGCACAUACUCCUCUGGCCCCUGCAGCUCCUUCGGCCCGCGGGCCUUCCCUCCUGGCAGGCUCAGUGCUUCCUGAGCGCUGGUCUUUGCGAUCGGCUUGGAGGCCAGGAGGAGUACAGUGUCCCGGAGGCCACGGUUUGUCCGCUAAGGUAAAAUGCUCUGCGUCAUCCUCAGGCAGGCAAGGUGCUAAUUCUGCAGGAUCGAGAGCUCCUGGGCGUCUGGAGACAAGUGUAGCCCCCACAUGUCUUUGUCCGAGUCUCGGUUGCAUGCCUGCCUCGUCAGAGUCUUGACUUGAGGCGGCUCAGCCGCUCUGUGGUUUGUCCCUGGCCCCAGCUUCAGUUGUCGGUUGUCAGAGAUGACAGGUCUGCCUGUGCCGCCAAGGAGGCCCUUUGACUUUGCGCUUCACCCUCAGCUGGUGAUCCAUCACACGCAGCCUUGUGCCAUCUUGGCUCCCGGCAAGAGCCGUGCGAUUCCAGAGUCCUUGCAGUGACCGCUUUCCUGACGUCUCAGGCCGGAGAUGUGUCUGCACGCCCCUUCGUCUGGCCUUUCGGCCCACAUCACCGCAGGUGAAAGUGUUAGCAAGUGUCCUACAGCCUGCGUGGGGCUGAUGGUGCUGCAUCUCCCCCUAGUGAAGGGGGGCUUGGGGUGAGAGCAGCUCCCGGACCGACUUCUGGCUGGGAGCCAAGGGUGGCUGACGUUUCCGGCCGCUGGGGGUUAGUCCUCGGGGGCCGCGGAUCCAGCAGUGGACCCACAGCACCCCCUGCAGAAGGGCCUCAGGUGCCCUGGUGCACAGCACGGCCAGAAAGAAAGGCCAGCUAGAGCACGGACGACAGAAGUUCUUACGUGGACUCCUUCCUGAUACAUGGCACGUUCGGAUGUGGUUUCUGGAAGUCAUUCAGUUCUCAUUUUAGCCAGGACUUUCAUUUUCAAAGAAGUGUGUAAGUCAUUAAUCGUUUCACUGAAAUGGGGGGUGAUUUUGAGAUAAACCUAGGCAUUAUGGAUUUGUUGCUUUAAAGGAUAGAUGCACUUUUUGGUGAUGGUGAUGUAAUUUCUACUUUUAGGAAGUUUUAUAAUAGGGUGUCAGAUUGCCAACUCAUAAAAAACAAAACAAAACGAACAAAACUUGAAGAGCCAAGUCCUGCAGCUUAAAAUGCUGACAUUCAUGAAAAAGAACACAUACUCAAAGCUAAUAGAUCUCUCUAAUUUUUUGGGGUGACUGGGUGGCUCAGUUGGUUAAGUGUCCAAGUUCGGCUCAGGUCACGAUCUCGCGGUCCGUGGGUUCGAGCCCCGCAUCCGGCUCUGUGCUGGCAGCUCAGAGCCUGGAACCUGCUUCUGACUCUGUGUCUCCCUCUCUCUCUGCCCUUCCCCCACUCACACUGUGUGUGUGUGUGUGUGUGUGUGUGUGUGUGUGUGUGUGUGUCUCAAAAAAAAACAUUAAAAAAAAAUCUCUAACUUUCUAAAGUUUUAUUGAGAUCUAUUUCACAUACCAUAGCCAUGCACAUCUUGUAAGUAUAUAGUUCAGUGAUUUUAAGUAUAUUCACAGAUGGUUGUGCAAGCAUCACAUCUAAUGUUAGAAAGUUUUGACAUCCCCCCAAGAGAAACCCCGUGCCCAUUAGGAGUCACUGCUCCAACCCUUCCCUCCUGCCUCUGCACUCGGCAACUACUGACCUGCUUUCUUUGUGGAUUUGCCCGUUCAGGACAUUUCACAUCCGUGGAAUCAUGCAGUAUGAGGCCUUUUGUGACUGGUUUCUUUCAGUCAAAGCUAGUAUGUUUUCAUUCCAGUCUACGUUAAGAUUCGGACUAAUUCUCUUUCUUACGAUAAGGGAGACUCAGAACGCUGCAGAACAAAGCUGAGACUUCCAAAACCAUGUCUACCUACUUGGUGCCACUGGGGCUCUGUCAGCUGGGGCUAGGUGAGGAGUUUCUAGUUCUCGGUCGCAACCAUAGUAUAGCACUGAGGUCGCUGCAUUUCAGUAGGUUGGUGAAGUUGUUUCAGUGGUUUGUUUAAUUUAUUCGCUGAUUCAUUCAUUCACUCAUCCGUUCGAAUUCACUUCGUGGACUGAUGGGAAUGAGACAACGUGUAUCUCACCGUGCUCUCAGGAAGGACUGGCUUCCAGCAGGUGGUGUUUUUGACUUUAAAAAGCAAUAGCCCAGUGUUUUUUCUUAGAGAAAUCGAAUGGCGUGGCCCCUGUCUUCUACUGUUUGGCUGUAAGAGAAGUGCCGUGCCCAUCAUCACCAUAGUUACUAUCUUCGUGCUGCUUUUUGACGGCUCACGGUAUGUUGGGCGCCGUGCUAAGCGUGCAACGUGAAUUACUCCUUAUCAGCCUAGCAGUCCUGUCAGGUGAGUGCUGCCACCCCAUCAUAGAGACGAGGAAAGUGAAGCCCGGACAGUGAGUGGCUGGUCAGGACCACCGAGUGGCACUCAGACUCACACGUAUGCUCCUCAGUGUUCGUGCAGUUCUAGGUGGCUGCUUCCUGAGUACUCUUUUAUACCCUGUAAGAUUAGUGCUAACCCGACGUUGGAAACAGAGCAGUGCAAUGCGUUGGUCGUGACUCAGAUGACAUCUUCACGAAAGUCUGUGGAAGUGUAGCUGGGUGCCCUACAGCUCCACAGCAGUGUUCCUACUUAACAUUGUACCUAAAGAGCCACAGAGUGGUAGCGUCGUCCGUCUGUCUUUUUUUAAAGUGAGCUUCGUACCAGCGCAGACCCCGAGCGCGGGGCUUGAACUCAAGGCCCCGAGAUCAAGACCUGAGCGCAGAUAAAGAGUUGGACACUUAACCGACUGAGUCACCCACGUGCCUCGUGUCUGUCUUUUUUAUGAGCCGACGUCUGUUGGGUGUUUAUUAUGUACCAGCCUCUACGCUGAAGGCAUUAUCUCAUUUGAACCUUAAAACAACCUGUGCGAUAGCAACUUUUAGUAUCGUCGUUUUCAGAUGAAACAGUUGAGGCUUUGACAAGUUAAGAUGCUUCUCUUAAGAUACCCUAUAUUAGGGGUGUCUUGGUGGUUCGGUGGGUUAAGUGUCUGACUCUUGAUUCUGGCUCAGCUCAUAAUCUUGUGGUGGGGAGAUCGAGUCUGGCAUCAGGCUCCACAUAAGCGUGGAGCCUUCUUAAGAUACCGCUCACGCACGCAUGCUCUCUGUCCCUCAGAAAAAAACCCUAAGGUGUCUAACUGAGAAAAGACAGAGCUGGGAUUUGAACCCAUACGUUAACAUUCUGGUACUGAAACCUGCGCUCUUAAUGCUGUGCUGCCUCUCUGUCUUCCCGCAUUCCUAGUCAUCAUCUUUAAUUGUCUUUGGUGAACUUGGUCUUUCCUUCCGUUCUUGUGCUCUUUCUGCUUAGUGAUGAUCCUUAUCUUGCCGCUGGUCUUGUCUUUUCAAUUUUGAUAGAAUGAUGAAUUGAUACAAGUCAUUUAUAAGAGUUGAUUAAUUGUAUUUUAGUAAGAAAAUUUGAAAGCAAAUGCUUGAUUAAGCCAUUGAAAAACAGUUUAUUACAAAUUUUCUCCAUUGCAAAAGUAGUACUUUCACUGUAAGCAAAGGGGAAAAAAGCUUUAAACCUAUUAGUAUAGUUUUUUCCUUUAACUUUUAAUUUUCAUUUUUAAAUGCUUUUUAUCCCUAAUUAUCAUAUGAAAGUAAUUACCAUCCUAAAGAAAUUUUAGGGGCACCUGGUGGGGGGGGGGCUCGGUUGAGCAUCCAACUCUUGGUUUUGGCUCAGGUCAUGAUCUCAUGGUUUGCGAGUUCAAGUCCCGCUUGGGCUCUGUGCUUACAUCGUGGAGCCUGCUUGGGAUUCUGUCCCUUUCCCUCUCUCUCUGCCCUUCCCCUGCUCAUGUUCGCACUGUCUCUCUCAAAAAUAAAUAAAUAAACUUUAAAAAACAAGAAAUUUUAAAUGUCAGCAAAUAUGUAGAAGGAAUGGUACCUUCCUACGAAUGGUACCGUGUGGAGGCACCUGGGGGGCUCAGUCAGUUGAGCUUCCGACUUCGGCUCAGGUCAUGAUCUCACAGCUCGUGGGUUCAAGCCUCAUGUUGGGCUCUGUGCUGACAGCUCAGAGCCUGGAGCCUGCUUCCGAUUCUGUGUCUCCCUCUCUCUCUCUCCCUCUCUCUCUACGCCCCUCCCCCACUCAUGAUCUGCCUCCCUCUCUCCCUCUCAAAAAUAAAUAAAUAAACAUUAAAAAAAAAAACUGUACUGUGUACAUGUGAAAUACCAAAAGUAAAACUUGGUUUACCUUUAAAUAUGAUGUCAGGAAAGAGCACAUGUUAAUGUAGUUUCUUGUUAAUCAGGUAACCUGUGGCUCUUUGGGGACGAGCCACCCGGAGGCAGAGGUCUGCAUGAGAAGCAGGCUUCUGACCCGGGCUGUUGCGUGCAGAGCACAUGUCCUAUUCUUACUGGUCCCUUCCAGAGUCGGAGCCUUAUUGCCCCUUGGCGUGCAUGUGCCAUGAAGACCUUCUCUUUCCCUCCUCUCUUCCCCUCCCCCGAAUACAAGUCACACUUUUCCUUCGUACUUGUGCUUAUGUUCAGCAGGUUUCCUGGCAUACUUGUGGCUGUUCUAAUAUUCAGUAAUAUUUUCUUAAGGAAACCCCUUCUCUGGAAUUUUGGAAUGCAGUUCUGUGCCUCUGUUUUUUACCCUCCUGUGAACAUUUUCUGAUAAGUAUUUCAUUGGAAAGGCUGGUAGGCACUUCUGUUCCUCUUUUAACCUUUUCUAGGCUAAGUAAAUGUUUUUGCCAAAAACUUAAAAAAAUUAUAAUUGAUGUCUUCCCUUUUUCCCGCUGAAAUAAAUCAUGUGUGUUUUAGAUAACAUUGGAUUUAAAAAUGUACAGCUUGGAGCAUCUUCGGUUAAAAUUUUGGAAGGUCUAGUUAGAGUUGAGUACAUCUUUUUUGCCUGUAAGAUACAGAAACAAGAAACAAUUUAAUCUACAUAGGAGGGUGACUAUUCAUAAUAUGAAAGGAUACUGAGUGUAUUGCUGGGAUUACGGGGAAUCCCAGUGUAUUGCUGGGAAUACUGAGUGUAUUACUGGGUAAUAACGAGUGAGCCUGACUAGGGAAAAAUGUCUAAAAAGACAUCUUAGAUGAUAACAAAACGUAGAGAAACAGUGAUCUGGAGUGCAGACCCGUCUAGUGUUGUGUCUCGUAUAUAUGGACUCAUCUCUUUGGAAUAACCAUUAUCUUUUAGUUCCUGUGCAUUUUUGUAUUCUGGAUGCGAACCUACUUUACAUGGCAACAUAUUUGCUAUUGAGUGGAAAACACUGCAGUUUAAUUUGCAUGGCAUAUAUAGAUUCCAUCCCCUAAGUCUGCAUUAAUUGUGUGAUUAAAAUAUUUAGUUCUCAACAGUCUUAAAAUUUGUUUUUCUGUUUUAUAAGAUACCUACUCUACUUGUCAAUUAAAAAUCACUACAGAUUUUUUUCCCUUUCUAUUUAAAUUUUUUUUUUUUCAACGUUUAUUUAUUUUUGGGACAGAGAGAGACAGAGCAUGAACGGGGGAGGGGCAGAGAGAGAGGGAGACACAGAAUCGGAAACAGGCUCCAGGCUCUGAGCCGUCAGCCCAGAGCCCGACGCGGGGCUCGAACUCACGCACCGCGAGAUCGUGACCUGGCUGAAGUCGGACGCUUAACCGACUGCGCCACCCAGGCGCCCCUUUCCCUUUCUAUUUAAUAGACGUACUGUUUAGAGCAGUUUUAGGUUUACAGAGUAAUUGAGCGGAAAGCAUGGAGAAUUUUGAUAUAACCCCGUCCUCCUUUUAUUAACAUCUUCCAUUAGUGUAUAUGUUUAUUAUGGUUAAUGAAUGUUGAUAAGUUGCUAUUAACUAAUGUCCAGGUGUACAUUAGGACUCAUUCUUUAUAUCGUACAGUUUUCAAUUGUGACAAAUGUAGGUCGUACCCACGAUUAUCAAAUAUCCACCAUUACAGUUCAUGACUUUGUGAAAGAUAGUUUUGCUGCUUUAAAAAUCCCCUGUAGGGGCGCCUGGGUGGCGCAGUCGGUUAAGCGUCCGACUUCAGCCAGGUCACGAUCUCGCGGUGCGUGAGUUCGAGCCCCGCGUCGGGCUCUGGGCCGAUGGCUCAGAGCCUGGAGCCUGUUUCCGAUUCUGUGUCUCCCUCUCUCUCUGCCCCUCCCCCGUUCAUGCUCUGUCUCUCUCUGUCCCAAAAAUAAAUAAACGUUGAAAAAAAAAAAUUUAAAAAAAAUAAAAAUCCCCUGUGGAAUAAUGUUAAAUGGAAAUAAGUCCUUUUUCUUACCUUCCUUCCCAGUGUGACUCUAAGAAACUAUUGUUGAUAUUUUCUUGUGUGUUUCAGUGACACAAUGAAACAAUGAAUUUUUGAUCUUGCCCAUACGAUACAGGUGGAUACCUCAUAUUUUCCAGCGGCAGCAGUGUAAACACUCUUGAAACCGCUUAAAGAAAGGGAUUGUGGGUGACUGAGGAGCUGGUCCCGCGCACCUGUUAGCGAUGGUGUCCAAGAAGGAGGCCGUAAGGUGGCAUGUCUGGCUUGGCACUGAGGCUGGUGUGGCUACUGAAUGUCACAGCAUGUAAUUUAAGAUGUGAGGGUUAUUGGACACAUAAUAACAUACUGUUAGCUAGAAGAUGAAGACAGUGCUCUGACAUGUAAACAUGUACUGUGUUCAUUUCGUGAAUACCUUUGUCUCGGUAGAAAAACUUUUACUAAUAUUCAACAGUAGUUCCUCAUUCCUGGCAUUUUAAACUUUUAAGAAGCUUCCAUUGAUCAUGUGAUUAAAUGCGUGUCAAAAACAGAUAUGUUAUAUUUUUGAAAUAUGGAGCUUGAAAAAAAAUAUACCUCAGUCUAGGAAGUUGUAAGGAUGUUUUAUGAAAAAAAUCAGGCAUUACUUUAAGCUUUUGCAUAAAAUUAUCAGAAUAUUUGCCAUGGAAAAGUACUUCUGGAGAUUUCUGCAUGAUAAAUUCUUGGUAUGUAUUAAUUUUUAAAACAUUUAAAAAAUAUUUAUUUUUGAGAGAGAGAAAGAGAGAGCACAAGCGGGGAAGGGGCAGAGAGAGAGGGAGACAUGGGAUCCGAAGCAGGCUCCAGGCUCUGAGCUGUCAGCACAGAGCCCCACGUGGGGCUCGAACUCAGAACUGGGAGAUCAUGACCUGAGCUGAAGUUGGAUGCUUAACCGACUGAGCCACCCAGGCAGCCCAGCCCCCCCCUUUUUUUUUUAAUGUUUUGUUUUGUUCUUUCAGAUCUUUGAUUGUUAUUUACAGAAAUUGUCUUUAGAGGGAUUUGAAAUGGAAUAGAAACUUUUGGAGCUGAGCAAUAAAUACAGGACCAUUAUAAAUAUACAGAGAAAAACUGAGUUUUGAAACCACAGUGUUGAGUCUGUCUCCCAUGCUGAUGUGUACCGACUUUUUUUUCUUCUUCUUUUUUAAUGUUUAUUUUUGAGAGAGAGAUAUAGUGUGAGCGGGGGAGGGGCAAAGGGAGAGGGAGACACAGAAUCCGAGCUGUCAGCACACAGCCCAACGCAGGGCUCGAACUCACAAACCGGGAGAUCAUGUUCUGAGCCGAAGUCGGAUGCCUAACCGACUGAGCCGCCCAAGCUCCCCUUGAUAUUUUUUAAAUAUCAUAAUUAGUUAUGUUUAAUUGACCUGGUUGACUUUCAAAACUAAUUGUGAAAGAAAUAGAACUUAGUGAUAAUUCAAGUCAAUAAAUGGGUUUUUUGCUGUUUUUCUGCCAUUCCACUGAGUGGAAAGUAGCAUAUACUUUAUUAGAAAGCCAAGUGAUAAGCUUAUUUUCCUUGAUGUUUUGUAUUUUUCUUACCUUUCGUAUGCAUCGUUGAAUGAUUCUGGUCGUGUGCACUUUUGACGAAUCGUUUAAUUUACGCUCACGUUCAACCGCGGCAUUAUUUGCCGUAGUCAGAAGGUGGGGGCUACUCAUGGGUGUCCAUGGAAGGAUGACGGAUGAUCGAAAUGUGUAAGCAUACAGUGGAAUAUUAUUCAGCUUUAAAGAGGAAGGAAACUCUGACGCCUGCUUCAGCAAGGAUGAACCUUGAGCCUUGAGGACAUGAAAUGCUAAGUGAGACGCUAAGUGAAAUAAGCCAGUCCCGAACAGGGAAGUAGGAGGUGUCUAGAGUGGUCAGAGUCACGGAAAGUAGAGUGAGUGGUGGCUGUGAGGGGCUGGAGGUGGGGGGGGGGAGGGAGGUGCUGUUUACUGGGUGCAGAGAUUCAGUUGCAAGAUGAACGUUGGUUGUACACAGAGUGAAUUUAUUUAACGCUUUGAACUGUACACUUAAAAUGGCUAAUGAUGUAAAUUUUAUAUAUGUACUUUUCCACAAUUAAAAAUUUUUAAAAAUCCAUUGAAAGGUAAACGUAUGCAACUAAAUUUGUCCAGUGGAGUGGUUUAGCAGGGAAUGGAGAAGUCUAGAAGUCUGAGGGACUUCUCCUAAGAACGUACUAUCUGAUUUCCUAAGUAUUUGUAAACAUAGUGCUGAUUUCAACUGCUGAGACAGGUGCAGAGGGAGAGAAGUGUUUGGGUAAUUGCUGUCUGCUCAGGAAAGGGUUAUGGACGUCAAGCUUUUUAAAAUUUCUGUAUAAAAGUUUUCUUUUAAAAACCAGCUCACCCUUUAUUUGUGUUGGCUGAAGUUUUGUGUGCCUGGUGCAUACUUGAAUAAUCUAAUGUAGAGAUUAUAAGGUGAGGGAGAUCCACGUGGCCAAGUUAGAAUGAUGGACGUGCAUCAUAAUGUUACAUGUCAGCUGACCCACCGCAGAAACGGGAGGGGGUAAGGAGGUGUACAUCUGCCUCAGAAAAGAGGCAAGUCGCACCCUUCAAAUUAUCCGUACUAAUUUUUCUCAGUGUGAGCAAAUUACUUUUUAAAAAAUUUUUGAUGUUUAUUUAUUUUGAGAGAGAGAGAGAGACAGAGCACGAGGUGGGGGGGGCAGGAGAGGGAGGCACAGAAUCCGAAGGAGGCUUCAGGCUCCAAGCUGUCAGCACAGAGCCCGACGUGGGGCUUGAACUCAGGAACCGUGAGAUCAUGACCUGAGCCCAAGUCAGUUGCUUAACCGACUGAGCCACCCAGGCACCCCUCAAUCAAAUUGUUUGAUAACAGAAAAGAGAACCUUUCAGUUUAGCUGUCAAAGCCGGGCUGUCGUUUCCGAUGUGCUUUAUUUAAUUAACUACCGAGUCCGGAGCAGAAGUGAAGAGAAGUGGUUACAUGUGCUUGUCCAUCCAGAUCACCAGCUGUCAACUUUCAUUUGUGACACGUCUAGAAAGUUCUUAAUGGACAGUUACAACAAAACCACAUAUCUGUGUAUAGUUAUGCCAUUUAGCUAGAUACUGUAUACGUAUAGCUUGUUAUCUUCAAAGUUUUGAUACAAGCCAGAGUGAGAGUGAGCAGAGUGCCCGAGGAAUCGCGGGCUAAAGAUUUGAUCCGUCUGUCUUUGUGACUCUGGCACCUCCCACACUGCUGGGCAUAUGAGAAGCUAUUAAUACAUGUUUGAAUGAAUGAACGAGUAAAUUAAUGGGUAUGUACCAGUCUGUAGAUUGGUAUACGUCUUUUCAUCUACAAAUCCUUCUGUUCUGGAUAUAAUGUUUCCUUUGCUUUCCCUGGGUGUUCGACUCCUUCUUUUUAAAAGAUUAGUAAGCUUUAUUUCAAGUAAUAUUCUCUUAUAAUAGGACUCAAUCACAAAUAAAUAAAACCAUACUUAACAAACAUUUAUAUAGUGCUUACUGUGUGCCUGGUACUCUUGUUCAUUCGUCAUGUUCUUCUCGUGAAAACCUUAUGAGGUGGCUGUUGAUAUUCCUCCACUCGCAUGGGGAAACUGAGGCACAGACAAGUUAGGUGACUUGCUCAGAGUUGCCAGCUAGUAAGUGUCUCAGCAGGAUUUGCACCAAGUCUGAGUUCCAGAGUCUGUGCUUCACCACCACACGGGGCACGCUGUUUCUCACAAAUACCAGCUCUAAAAACCAUUUCCAUCUCCCCAGAAGACCGCCCAUACUAGGGGGGCUUAUCUUAUUUACGGUAAAAUUUUGUUAAGAUAGAAAUUUUCUAAUGGUGACAUUCACUCUCUUUUACUGUCAAGCUAUGUGAUGAAUAUGUUGUUAUUUAAAAGGUUAUGUUUAUUGUCACCACAGGCCGUGUAUCGAUAGUGGUGAAUGGGCAUAACUUCCAAACGAAGAGGGGUAUAUGCAGCUUCUGGGGUGCUUUGCCUUUCUGCUGGUAAGGUGUUCCUUCUGUCCGCAGCACGUCUGAGGUGUCAGAAGGCACGACAGUCGUCGGAUCGGAAGGACUGGAUUUGUAGACCUCUGGCUGCUCUUGUGACAUCUGUGCUGGUUACCUGAUGAAUUUUGAACCUAGGAACGCCCUUGGCCUGCUAUAGCCCAGGGACCUGAGGAAUUGGACUGUCUGUGCGCCCCCGACCAAUUCCGUGGUCUGGGAGAGCCCCCCUGAAGACGUGCGCUCUAGUCUGGCCGGAGUGUGAUGUCACACAAAUCAAGGCGCUCCAUGCACCUUCUGUUUAUGGUUAUAGGCAGCCCUUCCUUAAAAGCCCUUGGCGAUAUUAGUAUUUUAGUUGUUUAAAGUCCCCAUUAGCCUGAAUUUUUAGUGAAAUGUCUAAUUCACUGUGGCAUCUAUUAAAC